Molecule: long non-coding RNA, 226 nt
Filed under: Homo sapiens (human)
Lineage: Eukaryota; Metazoa; Chordata; Mammalia; Primates; Hominidae
Description: HSALNT0304070
Source: RNAcentral
UGAUGAGAUGCAAUGAUGAGAUGAAAUGAUGAAAUGAUGAGAUGAGAUGAGAUGUAAUGAUGAGAGGAAAUGAUGAGAUGUAAUGAAAUGAGAUGAAAUGAAUGAGAUGAAAUAAUGAAAGGAAAUUGAAUUGAGAUAUGAGAUGAAAUGAGAUAAAAUGAGAUGAAAUAAGAAAUGAUGAGAUGAAAUAAUGAAAGGAAAUUGAAUUGAGAUAUGAGAUGAAAUG